CUAUACCUUGCCAUCGAUAUAGGACCUUACUUUUAACUUUUGCUUAAUGGAUCCACUAGCUUAACUUUCGUGAUCAUCUAAAAAGUAUGAUCCGAGAAAUCCCAUGUUUGGCUACAUGGUUCUUAUGGAGAGUUGAGUUAAUAUGAACUCGUGUCCCCAAUUCGGUGCUCAAGACUACUCCCACAAAUACUUUAGCUCAUAAGUGUUUUAAACACAUCUUUCUUUAGUUGAGAUAAUUACUCAAAACUUAGCCCGAAGGCACUUGAAAACUCUUUCUAAAUAGAACAAAUCAAAAUCAUAUUUUUAAUAUGAUCAUUGAUGACUCGGGAUAUUCAUACUGCUUAAACAUUGAUGGUAUAUCUAGAGACCAUACUGUUUAAACAUUGAUGACAUACUCGAUUUGUCAUAUCUAAUCAUAUUUU
Molecule: long non-coding RNA, 422 nt
Filed under: Solanum tuberosum (potato)
Lineage: Eukaryota; Viridiplantae; Streptophyta; Magnoliopsida; Solanales; Solanaceae
Description: long non-coding RNA (STUB_LNC001996)
Source: RNAcentral